RNAcentral lists this unclassified non-coding RNA (164 nucleotides) under Lacrymaria maurea. RNAcentral describes it as "partial internal transcibed spacer 2". Lineage: Eukaryota; Ciliophora; Litostomatea; Haptorida; Lacrymariidae. The record is from RNAcentral.
CACCGAUUAACGUCGGUAUGCUUGUUUCAGUGUGCACAACCAAAUCAACAACUAAAUGUGAGUGAAAUUCACUCAUGAAAUAAAUGCUCAACGCAGCAGUCACAUGAAUUUGUGAGCUGUUAGAGAACUAAGUCUUAUUCGCACCUGAAAUCAAGUAAGAUGAC